Non-coding RNA from Triticum aestivum (bread wheat), 135 nucleotides. The record is from Rfam. Lineage: Eukaryota; Viridiplantae; Streptophyta; Magnoliopsida; Poales; Poaceae.
GAUGUACUUCCUCCGUCCCAAAAUUAUUGUCUUAGAUGCAUCAAGAUAGGGAAGUAUCUAACACUAAAACGUGACUAGAUACAUCCGUAUUUAGACAAAUCGAAGACAAGAAUUUUGGGACGGAGGGAGUAUAUA